This 301-nucleotide ribosomal RNA is filed under the name uncultured bacterium. RNAcentral's name for it is "partial 16S ribosomal RNA". It matches the Rfam family "Bacterial small subunit ribosomal RNA", at positions 509 to 807 of the family's 1533-position model. The record is from RNAcentral.
CAGUCGCCGCGGGAAAACGAAGGGGGCAAGCGUUGUUCGGAUUUACUGGGCGUAAAGCGUACGUAGGCGGAUAUUUAAGUCAGGGGUGAAAUCCCGAGGCUCAACCUCGGAACUGCCUUUGAUACUGGAUAUCUUGAGUCCGAGAGAGGUGAGUGGAACUCCUAGUGUAGAGGUGAAAUUCGUAGAUAUUAGGAAGAACACCAGAGGCGAAGGCGGCUCACUGGCUCGGAACUGACGCUGAGGUACGAAAGCGUGGGGAGCAAACAGGAUUAGAUACCCGCGUAGUCCCUGUCUCUUAUAC